ACAUGCAAGUCGAACGGUAAGGCCCUUCGGGGUACACGAGUGGCGAACGGGUGAGUAACACGUGGGUGAUCUGCCCUGCACUCUGGGAUAAGCCUGGGAAACUGGGUCUAAUACCGGAUAUGAGCUCCUGUCGCAUGGCGGGGGUUGGAAAGGUUUACUGGUGCAGGAUGGGCCCGCGGCCUAUCAGCUUGUUGGUGGGGUAAUGGCCUACCAAGGCGACGACGGGUAGCCGGCCUGAGAGGGCGACCGGCCACACUGGGACUGAGACACGGCCCAGACUCCUACGGGAGGCAGCAGUGGGGAAUAUUGCACAAUGGGCGAAAGCCUGAUGCAGCGACGCCGCGUGAGGGAUGACGGCCUUCGGGUUGUAAACCUCUUUCAGCAGGGACGAAGCGAGAGUGACGGUACCUGCAGAAGAAGCACCGGCCAACUACGUGCCAGCAGCCGCGGUAAUACGUAGGGUGCGAGCGUUGUCCGGAAUUACUGGGCGUAAAGAGCUCGUAGGCGGUUUGUCGCGUCGUCCGUGAAAACUUGGGGCUCAACCCCAAGCUUGCGGGCGAUACGGGCAGACUUGAGUACUGCAGGGGAGACUGGAAUUCCUGGUGUAGCGGUGAAAUGCGCAGAUAUCAGGAGGAACACCGGUGGCGAAGGCGGGUCUCUGGGCAGUAACUGACGCUGAGGAGCGAAAGCGUGGGUAGCGAACAGGAUUAGAUACCCUGGUAGUCCACGCCGUAAACGGUGGGCGCUAGGUGUGGGUUUCCUUCCACGGGAUCCGUGCCGUAGCUAACGCAUAAGC
RNAcentral lists this ribosomal RNA (796 nucleotides) under bacterium. RNAcentral's name for it is "bacterial SSU rRNA". It matches the Rfam family "Bacterial small subunit ribosomal RNA", at positions 53 to 865 of the family's 1533-position model. The record is from RNAcentral.